CCUACGGGGGACAGCAGUGGGGAAUAUUGGGCAAUGGGCGCAAGCCUGACCCAGCAACGCCGCGUGAAGGAAGAAGGCUUUCGGGUUGUAAACUUCUUUUGACAGGGAAGAGUAGAAGACGGUACCUGUCGAAUAAGCCACGGCUAACUACGUGCCAGCAGCCGCGGUAAUACGUAGGUGGCAAGCGUGGUCCGGAUUUACUGGGGGUAAAGGGCGUGUAGACGGGUUGAUAAGUCAGAUGUGAAAUCCUGCGGCUUAACCGCAGAACUGCAUUUGAAACUGAUGAACUUGAGUAUUGGUGAGGCAGACGGAAAUCCUAGGGUAGCGGGGAAAUGCGUAGAUAUUAGGAGGAACACC
Molecule: ribosomal RNA, 357 nt
Filed under: uncultured bacterium
Lineage: Bacteria
Description: partial 16S ribosomal RNA
Rfam family: Bacterial small subunit ribosomal RNA
Source: RNAcentral